This 433-nucleotide ribosomal RNA is filed under the name uncultured bacterium. Its description in RNAcentral is "partial 16S ribosomal RNA". It matches the Rfam family "Bacterial small subunit ribosomal RNA", at positions 29 to 507 of the family's 1533-position model. The record is from RNAcentral.
AGCGAACGCUGGCGGCAGGCCUAACACAUGCAAGUCGAACGAACCUUUCGGGGUUAGUGGCGGACGGGUGAGUAACACGUGGGAACGUUCCUUUAGGUUCGGAAUAACUCAGGGAAACUUGUGCUAAUACCGAAUGUGCCCUUCGGGGGAAAGAUUUAUCGCCUUUAGAGCGGCCGCGGCUGAUUAGCUAGUUGGUUUAGGUAAUGGGUCACCAAGGGGAGGAUCAGUAGGUGGGUUGAGAGGAUGAUCAGCCACAUUGGGACUGAGACACGGCCCAAACUCCUACGGGAGGCAGCAGUGGGGAAUCUUGCGCAAUGGGCGAAAGCCUGACGCAGCCAUGCCGCGUGAAUGAUGAAGGUCUUAGGAUUGUAAAAUUCUUUCACCGGGGACGAUAAUGACGGUACCCGGAGAAGAAGCCCCGGCUAACUUCGUG